This 301-nucleotide ribosomal RNA is filed under the name uncultured bacterium. RNAcentral's name for it is "partial 16S ribosomal RNA". It matches the Rfam family "Bacterial small subunit ribosomal RNA", at positions 509 to 808 of the family's 1533-position model. The record is from RNAcentral.
CAGUGCCACGGUAAUACAGAGGGUGCGAGCGUUAAUCGGAUUUACUGGGCGUAAAGCGUGCGUAGGCGGCUUUUUAAGUCGGAUGUGAAAUCCCUGAGCUUAACUUAGGAAUUGCAUUCGAUACUGGGAAGCUAGAGUAUGGGAGAGGAUGGUAGAAUUCCAGGUGUAGCGGUGAAAUGCGUAGAGAUCUGGAGGAAUACCGAUGGCGAAGGCAGCCAUCUGGCCUAAUACUGACGCUGAGGUACGAAAGCAUGGGGAGCAAACAGGAUUAGAUACCCCCGUAGUCCCUGUCUCUUAUACA